Long non-coding RNA from Macadamia integrifolia, 424 nucleotides. RefSeq lists it as uncharacterized. The transcript is spliced from 3 exons. The record is from RefSeq and is a predicted model, not a curated record. NCBI's taxonomy places the organism in Eukaryota, Viridiplantae, Streptophyta, Magnoliopsida, Proteales, Proteaceae.
AAUAAAAAAGAGAGAGAGAAAGGAAGGAGAGAGAAGGGGAAAAGAAGGAAGAAAUGGGGAAGAAGAGGAUCGUUGUGCAUCGCCGAGGUCAGAUCUCUUGAAUCCAACACCAGAUUAGCGAUCGUUAUCUCGAGAUCUAUAUUUUGAGGCAAAUAUGAAGCUACCAGUCGAUGCGUGGCCUAAGACAAUGAUAUCGGUAGCGAUCGAGUGCCUUGAAUUUGGAACGGAUGUGGCGAAAAUGCUCGUUGAAGACAACGACUCCGGCCACUCCAAGAUGUUGCAGAAAACCUGCCUUUGGUCGUCAUAACCAAAGUAAAAGCAAGAGCUCUCAUAGAUUUGGACCGGACUCUGCUAAUAGCAGUAAGGAUCACAUCUAUGAGUUGGGUUAAGCUUAACGUAUCGGUAGAUGCAGUACCAUUUGGAC